GGGCUUAAAGUCUUGUAAUUGGAAUGAUGGGAAUUUAAACCUCUUCCAGAGUAUCAAUUGGAGGGCAAGUCUGGUGCCAGCAGCCGCGGUAAUUCCAGCUCCAAUAGCGUAUAUUAAAAUUGUUGCAGUUAAAAAGCUCGUAGUUGAAUUUCUGCUGCAUUGCUUGUGUCCCUCUGGGGUCUGUGCAUGUGGCUUUUUUCGGACGGAGUUUCUUUGUCUGAAUGUUUACUUUGAGAAAAUUAGAGUGCUCAAAGCAGGCUUUCGCCUUGAAUAGUUUAGCAUGGAAUAAUAAAGUAGGACUUUGGUUCUAUUUUGUUGGUUUUAGGUACCAAAGUAAUGGUUAAUAGGAACAGUUGGGGGCAUUCGUAUUUAACUGUCAGAGGUGAAAUUCUUAGAUUUGUUAAAGACGAACUACUGCGAAAGCAUUUGCCAAGGA
This 436-nucleotide ribosomal RNA is filed under the name Theileria annulata. Its description in RNAcentral is "SSU rRNA". It matches the Rfam family "Eukaryotic small subunit ribosomal RNA", at positions 488 to 964 of the family's 1831-position model. The record is from RNAcentral. Lineage: Eukaryota; Apicomplexa; Aconoidasida; Piroplasmida; Theileriidae.